AGAGUUUGAUCCUGGCUCAGAUUGAACGCUGGCGGCAGGCCUAACACAUGCAAGUCGAGCGGCAGCGGAAGGAAGCUUGCUUCCUUGCCGGCGAGCGGCGGACGGGUGAGUAAGGUAUGGGGAUCUGGCCAAAGGCGGGGGAUAACCACUGGAAACGGUGGCUAAUACCGCAUAAUCUCUAAGGAGCAAAGUGGGGGACCAUUAUGGCCUCACACCUUCGGAUGAACCCAUAUGAGAUUAGCUAGUAGGUGGGGUAAAGGCUCACCUAGGCGACGAUCUCUAGCUGGUCUGAGAGGAUGAUCAGCCACACUGGGACUGAGACACGGCCCAGACUCCUACGGGAGGCAGCAGUGGGGAAUAUUGCACAAUGGGCGCAAGCCUGAUGCAGCCAUGCCGCGUGUAUGAAAAAGGCCUUCGGGUUGUAAAGUACUUUCAGUCGUGAGGAAGGUGUUAAGGUUAAUAGCCUUAGCAAUUGACGUUAGCGACAGAAGAAGCACCGGCUAACUCCGUGCCAGCAGCCGCGGUAAUACGGAGGGUGCGAGCGUUAAUCGAAAUUACUGGGGCGUAAAGGGCACGCAGGCGGUUAAUUAAGUCGGAUGUGAAAUCCCCGGGCUUAACCUGGGAAUGGCAUUCAAGACUGGUUAGCUAGAGUCUUGUAGAGGGGGGUAGAAUUCCAUGUGUAGCGGUGAAAUGCGUAGAGAUGUGGAGGAAUACCGGUGGCGAAGGCGGCUCCCUGGACAAAGACUGACGCUCAUGUGCGAAAGCGUGGGGAGCAAACAGGAUUAGAUACCCUGGUAGUCCACGCUGUAAACGAUGUCGGUUUGGAGGUUGUGGUCUAGAACUGUGGCCUCCGGAGCUAACGCGUUAAAUCGACCGCCUGGGGAGUACGGCCGCAAGGUUAAAACUCAAAUGAAUUGACGGGGGCCCGCACAAGCGGUGGAGCAUGUGGUUUAAUUCGAUGCAACGCGAAGAACCUUACCUACUCUUGACAUCCAGCGAAGCCUUUAGAGAUAGAGGUGUGCCUUCGGGAGCGCUGAGACAGGUGCUGCAUGGCUGUCGUCAGCUCGUGUUGUGAAAUGUUGGGUUAAGUCCCGCAACGAGCGCAACCCUUAUCCUUUGUUGCCAGCGAUUCGGUCGGGAACUCAAAGGAGACUGCCGGUGAUAAACCGGAGGAAGGUGGGGAUGACGUCAAGUCAUCAUGGCCCUUACGAGUAGGGCUACACACGUGCUACAAUGGCGUAUACAAAGAGAAGCGACCUCGCGAGAGCAAGCGGACCUCAUAAAGUACGUCGUAGUCCGGAUUGGAGUCUGCAACUCGACUCCAUGAAGUCGGAAUCGCUAGUAAUCGUAGAUCAGAAUGCUACGGUGAAUACGUUCCCGGGCCUUGUACACACCGCCCGUCACACCAUGGGAGUGGGUUGCAAAAGAAGUAGGUAGCUUAACCUUCGGGAGGGCGCUUACCACUUUGUGAUUCAUGACUGGGGUGAAGUCGUAACAAGGUAACCGUAGGGGAACCUGCGGCUGGAUCACCU
This 1532-nucleotide ribosomal RNA is filed under the name uncultured bacterium. RNAcentral describes it as "bacterial SSU rRNA". It matches the Rfam family "Bacterial small subunit ribosomal RNA". The record is from RNAcentral.